AUAAAUAUGAACUACCUUGUAGAUUUAAUCGUUAGAUAAAUGGGCUAACAAGUCUCUACCGCCUACCCGAUAAUAGGCGACAAUCCACAAUUGAUUAGUGAAA
Molecule: non-coding RNA, 103 nt
Filed under: Weissella paramesenteroides
Lineage: Bacteria; Bacillati; Bacillota; Bacilli; Lactobacillales; Lactobacillaceae
Also listed under: 1 other name
Description: Guanine sequence
Rfam family: Purine riboswitch aptamer
About the family: Riboswitches are metabolite binding domains within certain messenger RNAs that serve as precision sensors for their corresponding targets.
Source: RNAcentral